CAGUCGCCGCGGGAAUACGGAGGGUGCAAGCGUUAAUCGGAAUUACUGGGCGUAAAGCGCACGCAGGCGGUUUGUUAAGUCUGUUGUGAAAUCCCCGGGCUCAACCUGGGAAUGGCAGUAGAAACUGGACGGCUAGAGUGUGUCAGAGGAUGGUGGAAUUCCCGGUGUAGCGGUGAAAUGCGUAGAGAUCGGGAGGAACAUCAGUGGCGAAGGCGGCCAUCUGGGACAACACUGACGCUGAAGCACGAAAGCGUGGGGAGCAAACAGGAUUAGAUACCCCCGUAGUCCCUGUCUCUUAUAC
Molecule: ribosomal RNA, 301 nt
Filed under: uncultured bacterium
Lineage: Bacteria
Description: partial 16S ribosomal RNA
Rfam family: Bacterial small subunit ribosomal RNA
Source: RNAcentral